ACCCCUACGGGGGGCAGCAGUGGGGAAUAUUGCACAAUGGGCGCAAGCCUGAUGCAGCAACGCCGCGUGCGGGAAGAAGGCCCUAGGGUUGUAAACCCCUUUCAGCAGGGAAGAAGCGAAAGUGACGGUACCUGCAGAAGAAGCGCCGGCUAACUACGUGCCAGCAGCCGCGGUAA
Molecule: ribosomal RNA, 176 nt
Filed under: uncultured Actinomycetales bacterium
Lineage: Bacteria; Bacillati; Actinomycetota; Actinomycetes; Actinomycetales
Description: partial 16S ribosomal RNA
Rfam family: Bacterial small subunit ribosomal RNA
Source: RNAcentral